This 850-nucleotide ribosomal RNA is filed under the name Apiospora arundinis. RNAcentral's name for it is "eukaryotic LSU rRNA". It matches the Rfam family "Eukaryotic large subunit ribosomal RNA", at positions 63 to 941 of the family's 3401-position model. Lineage: Eukaryota; Fungi; Ascomycota; Sordariomycetes; Amphisphaeriales; Apiosporaceae. The record is from RNAcentral.
AACCAACAGGUAUUCCCCUAGUAACGGCGAGUGAAGCGGGAACAGCUCAAAUUUGAAAUCUGGCCCUUGGGUCCGAGUUGUAAUUUGCAGAGGAUGCUUUUGGUGCGGUGCCUUCCGAGUUCCCUGGAACGGGACGCCUUAGAGGGUGAGAGCCCCGUACGGUUGGCCACCAAGCCUGUGUAAAGCUCCUUCGACGAGUCGAGUAGUUUGGGAAUGCUGCUCAAAAUGGGAGGUAUAUUUCUUCUAAAGCUAAAUACUGGCCAGAGACCGAUAGCGCACAAGUAGAGUGAUCGAAAGAUGAAAAGCACUUUGAAAAGAGGGUUAAAUAGCACGUGAAAUUGUUGAAAGGGAAGGAUUUAUGACCAGACUUUUUCUGGGGGGAUCAUCCGGUGUUCUCACCGGUGCACUUCCCCCAGUUGAGGCCAGCAUCGGUUUCUGCCGGGGGAUAAAAGCUUUGGGAAUGUGGCUCCUUCGGGAGUGUUAUAGCCCGUUGCAUAAUACCCUGGCGGGGACCGAGGUUCGCGCAUUGCAAGGAUGCUGGCGUAAUGGUUAUUAAUCACCCGUCUUGAAACACGGACCAAGGAGUCGAACAUUUGUGCGAGUGUUUGGGUGUUAAACCCUCACGCGUAAUGAAAGUGAACGGAGGUGAGAGCCUUUAGGGGUGCAUCAUCGACCGAUCCUGAUGUCUUCGGAUGGAUUUGAGUAAGAGCAUAACUGUUCGGACCCGAAAGAUGGUGAACUAUGCGUGGAUAGGGUGAAGCCAGAGGAAACUCUGGUGGAGGCUCGCAGCGGUUCUGACGUGCAAAUCGAUCGUCAAAUCUGCGCAUGGGGGCGAAAGACUAAUCGAACC